Molecule: unclassified non-coding RNA, 238 nt
Filed under: Hevea brasiliensis (rubber tree)
Lineage: Eukaryota; Viridiplantae; Streptophyta; Magnoliopsida; Malpighiales; Euphorbiaceae
Source: RNAcentral
UGGAUGAGAACAGAAUAGAUGCUUUUAACAGAAUGGUAGCCCAAAAGAAGAAAGUGGCUCGUGCUUUACAACAAAAGAGUGAAGAAGAAAAGCUUCGUGGAAUGCGAGUUGGUGUGGAAAGGCUUGCCUCCAGGGACAAAAGACAGAGAAUGGGGCAAAUGGUAACCCAACUAAGAGCGACCAUUCAAGGUAUACACAAUUUUGAAACAUGACGCAUGCCAGCUAGAUAGCCUAGACG